Molecule: long non-coding RNA, 380 nt
Organism: Priapulus caudatus
Lineage: Eukaryota; Metazoa; Priapulida; Priapulimorpha; Priapulimorphida; Priapulidae
Exons: 2
Source: RefSeq, a predicted model, not a curated record
GGCGAAAUAAGAUAUAUGAAGUAAAAAUAAAAAUAUUAAAAAACGCAUAGGUGUUCACACAGCUGUAAGCCGGUUUGACACGCGAUUGAGAGGAUCCUGCCAGCGGCCGCUCCGAACAGGUAUAACUAAGUAGGAGUGGCGCGCGUGGGCGGGCGGCCCCGCAUGAGGAUAGGUGCGCGUCGGCGGGCGGCCCCGCAUGAGGAUAGGUGCGCGUCGAAACGAAUGACACUUUCCUAUUUAUAACAUAGAUCAGUUUUGUUUAAUAUCGAGUCUUUUUGAGUUUCGUUUUCAUGAGUUUUUGUUUAAUGAUGAUGAUGAGCUGUAAGAUAAAUGAUGAGAAUGAUGAGAGUGAUGAUUAUAUAUAAAAACCUGACAUUGGA